Molecule: long non-coding RNA, 921 nt
Organism: Xenopus laevis (African clawed frog)
Lineage: Eukaryota; Metazoa; Chordata; Amphibia; Anura; Pipidae
Exons: 3
Source: RefSeq, a predicted model, not a curated record
CGAAUAGGUUAGUGGAAGGCAUUGAGAGCCUCAGUCAUAGAAAAUAAUUGUUCCUCUGUUUCAAUCCACAGCAAACACAGUUGUUAAUGUACCUCCACAGUCUAUCUAUGUUUGUGCCAAAAUAUGAGAGAAUGUGUUCCUGCUCAUUAAUGAAGGGACUACAUAAGAGUCCAUGCUGAUUCCGCUAAUCAGUAGGUCAAUCUGUAGAAUCUGAGGUGUGGGACAAAUCCAAGGAAGCAACUGGACAGCAAAAUUUCUUUAUUGGGGAUAGAGAGAAAAAGAAGAAAGAAAAGGCUGAAGAAGAAGAAGAGAGAGAUAAAAGACAAGAGGAUGGGUUAUCCAUUUACAUCACAUUCCAAACCCACAUCAAUAAAGUCCGGGUAUACAAUCAUGUUACACUCAAUAAUCAUAUCAUACAUAAAGUCAUUGUACCUAGGCUCUGCGUUACUGUGAGGCAGUCCCAGCAGCUUGUUGGUCAGCCAACCAGCAAUUCCACACUUUUCCAAACUUAGCAGGACAGCCUCUCGCCAUGUAAGUAAGCUUUUGCUUUGGAAGCACAUCAUUUAUGAGUUUUUUCCAAUAGCCAAUGGUUGGAGCUUCAAUGUCUUUCCAUGUCAAAAGGAUGGCUUUUUUUGCAAAGUGAAAAAGUUGUUGAAGGCACAGUCUAUCACAAGGAGGAAGGUUUAAUCCUUCGGUGUGCCCCAGGAGACAGUAUUCCGGAGUCCGAAUUACAGGCAGACCCAGUGCAAUAUCAAGAUGUGUAAGAAUCGCAGACCAAAAUCUUUGCACUUUAGGGCAUUCCCAGAACACAUGCAUGUAGUUACCCUGUUCACUAUUACAUUUUACACAUACAUCCGGAUACCCUUGAUUAAUACGUGCCAGCCUGUGUGGUGUUAAAUAGACUCUGUUAAUAAAUUUAAU